RNAcentral lists this small RNA (2234 nucleotides) under Pan troglodytes (chimpanzee). RNAcentral's name for it is "retained intron". Lineage: Eukaryota; Metazoa; Chordata; Mammalia; Primates; Hominidae. The record is from RNAcentral.
GUCGCCAUGGCGACCGGCUGUACACUACCACAGCUUCCCAGGCCGCGGGUGCUGAUUGCCCGCCUGCCCGUGGGUCAUGGCCUGCCAGCAGUCGCGGUACCACAGCUUCUCGUCCGCGUCGAGAUUACAGCCACGGCCUUCAGGAGUGACCAUAGAUGAAUCCUUUCUCACAGAAGACAAGAGCACCCAGAAUCGCAAGCUUCUUCAGAAACGAAGGACGCUGGAGCUGCCAGCAGCACCCCUUUCACACUGCCAAGCCCCGGUACUUGGAGGAACUGGAAAACUACCUACGCAAGGAGCUCCUCCUACUGGACCUGGGCACAGAUUCCACCCAGGAACUAAGGCUGCAGCCCACCAAAGGGAGAAGAUUCGGGCUCUGGAGCCCCUGAAGGCCAAGCUUGUCACUGUGAAUGAGGACUGCAAUGAGAGGAUCCUGGCCAUGAGAGCUGAGGAGAAAUAUGAAAUCUCCCUGCUCAAGAAAGAGAAGAUGAACUUGCUAAAACUCAUCGACAAAAAGAAUGAGGAGAAGAUUUCAUUGCAGAGUGAGGUGACCAAACUGAGGAAGAACUUGGCUGAGGAGUACCUGCACUACCUCAGUGAGCGAGAUGCCCGUAAGAUCCUCAUCGCAGACCUGAAUGAGCUGCGGUACCAGCGGGAGGACAUGUCAUUAGCCCAGUCACCAGGCAUCUGGGGGGAGGACCCUGUGAAGUUAACCCUGGCUCUUACGAUGACCCGGCAAGACCUGACCCGCACGCAGAUGGAACUCAACACCAUGAAGGCCAACUUUGGAGAUGUGGUCCCCAGGAGGGACUUUGAAAUGCAGGAGAAGACCAACAAGCAUCUUCAGGAGCAGGUGCUGGCAGGCAGGCAGGGCCAGGAGGGUAGGACGGGGUCUCACAGGUGGGGGGCCAGGGCCAAUGUCCUUGCCCACAGCUGGACACCCUGAGAGCCAGCUACGAGGAGGUUCGCAAGGAGCAUGAGAUCCUCAUGCAGCUGCACAUGAGCACGCUGAAGGAACGGGACCAAUUCUUCUCUGAGCUGCAGGAGAUCCAGCGCACUUCCACGCCGCGGCCUGACUGGACCAAGUGCAAAGGUGAGGGCAGCCGGCAGGGCCCCAGGUCCUGCUUACAUGUGGGCCCAGACUCCAGCUCCCUCUCCCCACAUGCAGAUGUGGUGGCUGGGGGCCCAGAUCGCUGGCAGAUGCUGGCUGAGGGCAAGAACAGCGACCAGCUGGUGGACGUGCUCCUGGAAGAGAUUGGUUCGGGGCUGCUGCGGGAGAAAGACUUCUUCCCUGGUCUGGGCUAUGGGGAAGCCAUCCCUGCUUUUCUUCGGUUUGAUGGCCUCGUGGAGAACAAGAAGCCAAGCAAGAAGGACGUGGUCAACCUCCUCAAGGAUGCCUGGAAGGAACGUCUUGCUGAGGAGCAGAAAGAGACAUUCCCGGAUUUCUUCUUCAAUUUCCUGGAGCAUCGCUUUGGGCCCAGUGAUGCCAUGGCCUGGGCUUAUACUAUUUUUGAAAAUAUCAAGAUCUUCCACUCCAACGAGGUUAUGAGUCAGUUCUAUGCAGUCUUGAUGGGAAAGCGGAGUGAGAAUGUGUAUGUCACCCAGAAGGAGAUAGUAGCCCAGCUGCUGAAGGAGAUGACAAAUGCUGACAGUCAGAAUGAGGGGCUACUAACCAUGGAGCAGUUCAACACUGUCCUCAAGAGUACCUUCCCUCUCAAGACAGAAGAGCAAAUCCAGGAGCUGAUGGAGGCAGGGGGCUGGCAUCUCAGCAGCAGCAAUGCAGACUUGCUCAACUACCGCUCACUGUUUAUGGAGGAUGAGGAGGGCCAGAGUGAGCCCUUUGUGCAAAAACUCUGGGAACAAUACAUGGAUGAGAAGGACGAGUACUUACGGCAGCUAAAGCAGGAGCUGGGCAUAGAACUCCAUGAGGAAGUGACUCUGCCCAAGCUGCGAGGGGGCCUGAUGACCAUCGACCCCAGCCUGGACAAGCAGACAGUGAACACCUACAUGAGCCAGGCCUUCCAGCUCCCUGAGUCGGAAAUGCCAGAGGAGGGUGACGAGAAGGAAGAAGCCGUGGUGGAAAUCCUCCAGACUGCCCUGGAGCGGCUUCAGGUGAUUGACAUCAGGCGUGUGGGACCUCGAGAGCCAGAGCCUGCAAGCUAGGAACCUGUGGGCAGCCUGCGUGCUCCAGUCCUGCUAACCCCUAGUUUUUAAUAUAAAAGCGUUUGUCUGAA